UAAUUUGCACCUGAAAUCAAGUAAGAUGACU
This 31-nucleotide ribosomal RNA is filed under the name Troglodytella abrassarti. RNAcentral's name for it is "partial large subunit ribosomal RNA". Lineage: Eukaryota; Ciliophora; Litostomatea; Entodiniomorphida; Troglodytellidae. The record is from RNAcentral.